AAAACAAAAGUCUCGCCCGACCAUUCAACAGCUGGUUGCGUCAGUGUGAAGAGCAGCUCCGUGGGGCUGUGACGAACAUUCGCGCGGUCCUCAAUCGACUCGUAACGAGCGCGAAAAUAAAUUUCCCUGGAAAUUUAAGACGCUAAUUUGUUUUAAAAUUGCACCUCAAGAGCUCUGACAAAAUUUCUGCAGCGCUCGCGUAAGCCCCGUGAUUUUUUCCUCGUUCACCAGAGCGGAGGCCCGGCCGGUUGUUUUGCCGGCGUCUGCGAAAUUCGCUCGCUGCCUGUGAGUUGCAUUCAGGAAAUGUGCAAUUUUAGCUUGAGAUAGGUUUUUUCGAACGCAUUCUUUUGGUUGUCGCCGAUUAGUUGAUUCUCGAGCGAUUUCGCUCUGGGCGAUGUGAGUAUGUUCGGUUUUGAUGGAGAUGAUCGUGGAACGCGCCGGCCGGCUUCCCGGAUUGGGAUGAGAGAUUCGUGAGGGCGCGGUUGGGGGGACCCGCUGGCCGGGCGGCGCGGGGGACCCGCGGGGUGGAUCCGCGGCAUGGCGUUCCGCCCCCGCCCCCAGACGAGGGCAGGGAUCUUGGGGCUGGUUCUCGGGCCUCGUCGCCCUCGGAGUCUACCUCAACACCCUCCAGGCCGGAUUCGUCUACGAUGACAGUCGAGCCGUCUUGGGAAACCCAGACCUACUGCCAACGACGCCGAUCCGAAACCUCUUCAAGAACGAUUACUGGGGCACGAGCCUGGAUUCGAACAGCUCCCACGGCUCCUACCGACCCCUGUGCGUGCUCAGCUACCGGCUCAACUACCAACUCUUCGGCUUUCAACCCUGGGCCUUCCACGGCACCAACAUCCUCCUCCACGCCCUCGCCACCUACCUCGUCUACCGAACCGUCAAGACCCUCUUCCUCCAGAAAAACAUAUCAAUCUCCACGAGUCUCCUCUUCGCCGUUCACCCGAUCCACACCGAAAACGUAGCAGGGAUCGUCGGUCGCGCGGACAUCCUAUCAUGCAUCUUCUUCCUCCUCUCAUUUCUGUUCUACCUGAAGCAAGUCAGAGUGCGCUAACCGCUGCAUAAAGAGCUUCGCGGACUCGCCGCGAGAGGGCGCGCGGAAGCGGUGGGCAGAGGGCGCGAGUUGCGCGACGAGGAACGAGUGUCUAAAGUGGUUCUGGCUCUGCAGCUCCCUCCUAAUGGCGGUCUGCUCCACCCUCUGCAAGGAAACGGGCAUUACGGUGCUGCUGGCCUGCAUCGGAUACGAGUUCAUCCAUUACUAUCAAUUUAGGAAAUUGCUGCCCUCCAUAAAGGUAAGACACGCCGCCUUUAAACGGGCGGCAUCGCUAUUCACGCUCGGAUUUUCUUCUGAAAGCCCUGCCGUUUCAUAAAAUAUAGAUGGGUGCGAA
RNAcentral lists this long non-coding RNA (1394 nucleotides) under Bemisia tabaci. Its description in RNAcentral is "lncRNA ENSSSA2NGG002126". The record is from RNAcentral. Lineage: Eukaryota; Metazoa; Arthropoda; Insecta; Hemiptera; Aleyrodidae.